UAUAUGGUAUAAUUUGAAAAUGGUUCUCCUCCUAGGAAUAAGUAGGAACUGUUUAACCAAUGUCAUGCAUAUUUAAGUUCUGUUAUUGACAAGACAUUUGGAGUUCGGAAGAAAAAAUGGAGGAUUCCUUGUGAAUUUUCUAGAUAUAAUACUCAUGUGCAAAAGAGAGUAGUAAUGGCUACAAUGGGGCUACAUAAUUUUAUCAGAAUUUCAAAUUUUUCAAAUGAAGCUUUUGCAAAAGUAAUGCGAAAAACAGAGAUUACUGACAAAUUUUGAAACUAGUUAAGAGAAUAUCUAAGCUGCAGAGAUAGUUGAUGACGAUCUAAUGGCAAAUACGUGAUAGAGCAUAUGGAUGAACCAUGACAGCAAACAGACUUUUUUUAGAAAAAUAUAAAGAAUAACCUCCUGUAACCUCGUUUCUUCCACCUUAAACCUGUUGGUUUUCAUCCCAAGAAGCAGAAGACCUCACACAACUGUGAUCACCAUCACUGUUAAGCAAGAGCAGAAGAGCGUUGUAGCGGUUCACCCCCCAGCUAAAUGCAGCAGUACCCAUUUUUUAGAGAAACUGAAAACUGAAUGAAAAAGAAAGAAACUGGAGAGAAAGAAAGUGAGGGUUAUAAGUUGAUUUUCUUAUUAAUUUAUCAUGUAAUAUUGUGUGUUAGGGCAUCCCCAAGGCUAAACACCAUUUUGGUGUUCAAAUUACACCAAUUUUAGCGCUAAAACUUGUGUCCUCUCCAACCAUAACACCAUAACUCACACUAAAAGAAUAAUCUACUAUUAUAUUAUUUAUUUAAAAGAUU
Molecule: small RNA, 800 nt
Filed under: Arabidopsis thaliana (thale cress)
Lineage: Eukaryota; Viridiplantae; Streptophyta; Magnoliopsida; Brassicales; Brassicaceae
Description: ATSL094920
Source: RNAcentral